RNAcentral lists this long non-coding RNA (1209 nucleotides) under Sinocyclocheilus grahami. RNAcentral describes it as "lncRNA (ENSSGRG00000018184.1)". Lineage: Eukaryota; Metazoa; Chordata; Actinopteri; Cypriniformes; Cyprinidae. The record is from RNAcentral.
GUGCACUCCAUUGAUAUGUUCUGUAUAAUGUUUCUCUGUCUUCAGGAGAGAAGUGUAUUUCAUGUAAAGGGAAAUGGUUUACGCCCAGACAGUUUGAGGAGUUUGGAGGAAAAGGGCAUCACAAGAAGUGGAAGGGUAGCAUCUAUUACAAGCCAUCAUAUGGUCGUCAACAAGUUAAAUUACUGAAACUCAUACAAGUAUGUAUUCAGCUAGUGUGAAAUCUGAGUUUAUUUGACAUUUUUUUAUAAGCAUAUGUGAACUUCAUCUUAUUUAAAUGAACUUUCCUUUUUCUCCUAGAAUGGGUGCCUUUCAGAGUUUGGACAACUGAGGGAGUCAGUUAGACAGGUGACGCAGACAGAGAGAGAUGGUGCAAACGCAGUGCAAAAUGUAACAGGAAGGAGUGAAUUAAUUAACUCCUUAAAAGGUUUUCCAGAGUCCUGGAAAAGACUGUUUUCCAAGACUCUGGAAAUACCUGUGUGUGGAAUCAAAGAGAAAACAAUCCAGCCGGGCAGUUCUUCAGAUGAGUCUGUAUCUGUUGCUGAGAGAGUCAAAAUGAACAGGAGAGAAUCUGUGAUUUUAGCUGAAACUGUCAGUAAAAAGAUGACAGAAACGGUAGAAUCUACUGCCAGUGCUAGAGAUUCAUCUGCACCUCCCACUGAUGCUACAGAACCUGCAUUAUCUCCUGUCGUAGAGGAGGCCAAUCAGACCACAGAUGAAGCAGCAGCAGCUCAGCUGAACUUCAGUGAUUCACCUGCUGAAUGGCAGAAUCCUGUUGUUUCUGAAGAGACUGAGAAGACAGGCCAGAUGCAGCUAUUUGAAUUUCUGGCAAACCAGUUUAAUACCAUCAACAACACCCUAAAAUCAAUUGAUUUGUCUUUGAAGAAGCUGGUAGAAAAACAGUCACAAAACACACUGCCUCAAUACAUCAGUCUAACUCCUGCUGUUAUUGAAAAUCCCCAGAUUCACUCCUCAGUCAAAGAGGAGCAAAUCAUGUAAGUUUUAAAUCACUGAAGUAGACUAAACUUUGACACUGAACAAAUUAGGGGUAAUUCUGAGAAAGCAGAACUGUGAUCUGAGAGGUUAUGAUUAAAAAUAUAUAUCUUUACUAGAUAAUUAUUACACAAAUUUUGUUUUAAUGUGCAAUAGCCAAGAAAAUUAACAUCUUUUGGUAAAGUCUUUUGCUGUUUUUUUGCCACACAUUUAAAAUGU